AGAACGAACGCUGGCGGCAGGCUUAACACAUGCAAGUCGAACGGUUGUAGCAAUACAGCAGUGGCAGACGGGUGAGUAACACGUGGGAACCUUCCUAGGGGUACGGAACAACUCAGGGAAACUUGAGCUAAUACCGUAUACGUCCGUAAGGAGAAAGAUUCAUCGCCCCUAGACGGGCCCGCGUAGGAUUAGGUAGUUGGUGAGGUAACCGGCUCACCAAGCCUACGAUCCUUAGCUGAUCUGAGUGGAUGAUCAGCCACACUGGGACUGAGAC
This 274-nucleotide ribosomal RNA is filed under the name uncultured soil bacterium. RNAcentral's name for it is "partial 16S ribosomal RNA". It matches the Rfam family "Bacterial small subunit ribosomal RNA", at positions 26 to 325 of the family's 1533-position model. The record is from RNAcentral.